UGGACGCUGAGACCGCAGUUUCCUGAUUUAAGCCUUAAGUUCCAGUUGAGUUUCACCCGAGUUCCAGUUGAGAUCUCAUUUCCAUCAGAACAUUAUGCAGCAUGCCAAAGACUACAAGGACAGUAAAAAGCCUUAUGGAUACACAGAAUGCUUCAGCAACAGCUCCAGAUUUGAAUAGAAGGCCACAUGUGUUUGCUUUCAAAGCAAUCUUUUAGACGUCUUUUGGAAAGGAAAGCUACGUAUAUAGGUCCUUCUAAAGCAAUGAAAGAUUUUAUUCUGCAUUUUUGGAAUGG
Bombina bombina (fire-bellied toad) is the source of this 293-nucleotide long non-coding RNA. RefSeq lists it as uncharacterized. The transcript is spliced from 3 exons. The record is from RefSeq and is a predicted model, not a curated record. NCBI's taxonomy places the organism in Eukaryota, Metazoa, Chordata, Amphibia, Anura, Bombinatoridae.